Acinonyx jubatus (cheetah) is the source of this 1551-nucleotide long non-coding RNA. RefSeq lists it as uncharacterized. Lineage: Eukaryota; Metazoa; Chordata; Mammalia; Carnivora; Felidae. The record is from RefSeq and is a predicted model, not a curated record. The transcript is spliced from 6 exons.
AGGUGGUUGGGGCCACAGGAUGUUGGAAACCUCGGAGAUAAUCUGUGAACAUCCUCCUCCUCUAGGUGAGGAUAUAUACCCAGAGAAGAGAACUACAUGGAUCCCUGAACUGGAAGAAUAGGCUGGUGAACAGAGGACAGAUCGAUGUGAGUUUUCAAGACUAGGCGGUGCACUCUGCAAGAUGAGGACACUAAGGCACAGAAGGGUUAAUUAUCUUUUCAAGGACACAGAGCUGGCAAGAGGAUGCUUUUCCUUAGAGAAUUGCCCCUCCCCCAAACUGUCCCAGAGGCACUGUCAGUCACAUGGCCACCAGCUUCCCUACUGCAGGGCCUGCAGAGUUUUCCAUAUCCCCAUGCAAGAUAUUCUGCUUCAGGCAACUCAUGGAAUAGCAACACCCAGCUAGAGAGCUCCAGGGACCAAUGGAGAUGCCAAACAUAAGAAGAAAAUCAUCACAGACAUUUUUAUUUUUAACCUAGAAGCAAAGUGGUUACUAACGCAUAGAUCCCAGAUUUCAAAAUAUGAUAACAACAUGUAGAAGAAAUCCUAGACACAGUCGAGAAAGUUGGGCAAGAAAUAUUUGGCAGAAAGAAUAAAAUCUGUAGGAUCAUAGAAAGUCCACCGGAAGUUAUGGCCUGAGAUGCAUACCUAUUCCGUAGUAGGAUUUGUCUGGUAUUAAGAAUUCUUAUGUACUGCAACAAUGAUCAAUUUAUCACCUCUCAACUCCCGAUCUAAGUGUUCAUCACCUGCUUUGCAGCCAGCAUGAUACUGAACUCGUCAGUAGAGGGCGCUGGAGGGACAUUAUAGGAGGUAAGCAUUUGUUUUCUGGUUCCUUCGUGUUGUCAGUUUUUUCCUCCUACUCCUGCAUUGCUUCCAGAGGCACUGUGUCCCAUCAUUGCACCCAACACACACAGUCUCCCCGCAAACCCAUUGCCUCAGUCUCAACCUGGUGACCACCUCACACACUGUGACCCUGUUGAUGUGGACCCUAUGUGGCCCAGGGUGCCCCCACCCUGCCAGUAAGCAGGCUCCCAGUGCCUGGCUGGGAGUGCUUCUGCUUGCCCAAUGACUGUGAACUCACUCUCGUGGGGCAAUGGAAUGAAAGAACUCCACCAUCCAGUGGGUCCAAAUAUACCUCUGCAAUAAGUCUGAAUACCAGCCUUAGGAAGCCAGCCCCCUUUCCUUCCUUUUUGUUCCUUUGAGUUCUCUCCCUCAGCCCUAGGGUAUUCUUUAGAACAGGGAUCAGAAACUUCAUCCUCCUGCUGGUUUUUAUAAAUAAAGAUUUAUCAGAACACACCCAUGCUCAUUCAUUUAUAUUUUGUCUCUGGUUGCUUUGAUGCUACAAUGCAAAAUUGAACAGUUCCAACGGAGACCUGAUGGUUCACAAAUCUAAAAUAUUUAAUCUGGGCCUUUUAAAGAAAAAGUUUGCUGACUCCUGCCUUACAGUUCUUUGUCUUCUAUAGUUUACUCCAUUGUUACAGUUAAUAAUUCUUUAUGUUAAAAUGCCCUUGUUCAAAUUACUGUGUGGUUUCCGUCUCCUAAUUGUACCUUACU